AGCGAACGCUGGCGGCAGGCUUAACACAUGCCAGUCGAGCGGGCACUUCGGUGUCAGCGGCAGACGGGUGAGUAACACGUGGGAACGUACCCUUUGGUUCGGAAUAACGCUGGGAAACUAGCGCUAAUACCGGAUACACCCUUUUGGGGAAAGGCUUGCUGCCGAAGGAUCGGCCCGCGUCUGAUUAGGUGGUUGGUGGGGUAAUGGCCUACCAAGGCGACGAUCAGUAGCUGGUCUGAGAGGAUGAUCAGCCACACUGGGACUGAGACACGGCCCAGACUCCUACGGGAGGCAGCAGUGGGGAAUAUUGGACAAGGGGCGCAAGCCUGAUCCAGCCAUGCCGGGUGAGUGAUGAAGGCCUUAGGGUUGUAAAGCUCUUUUGGCCGGGACGAUAAUGACGGUACCGGAAGAAUAAGCCCCGGCUAACUUCGUG
Molecule: ribosomal RNA, 433 nt
Filed under: uncultured bacterium
Lineage: Bacteria
Description: partial 16S ribosomal RNA
Rfam family: Bacterial small subunit ribosomal RNA
Source: RNAcentral